NNNNNNNNNGCGGCGCGUCCGGGGGGCGGCGGACACCCGGGCUCUGGCACCCCCGCGGUCUGGGCAGACGGUGCCCCGGGGGAGCCCGCGGGAGCCGCCGGCAGGCUGGAACUCCAAGGACUAGAUCAUGAUAAACGUUGAAGAGUUGUACACAGCAGGUUCUUGGAUCUCACACCAUGGGAAAAACGCAGAAGAUGAAAAAACAACACUCCGGCCAGAAUUCAAGGAAAUUCUUAAUAAACUAGGUUUUCAUAUGAAGGAAAUGGGGUUUGAAAACUUUGGCAGUGGUAACUUUCAUUUCUUUCUUUCUUUUUUUUUUUUUCUUUUAAAUUUCACUUACUGUGGAACAAAUGCUGACACAUUCCCUCUUGGAACUGCAAAGAAAAAGUGUGACAUUAAUAUCAAUGAAAACACAACCUUGUAUCUUGAAUUUGUUGGGCUUUACAUUUAA
This 451-nucleotide long non-coding RNA is filed under the name Mustela putorius furo (domestic ferret). RNAcentral describes it as "lncRNA (ENSMPUG00000030001.1)". Lineage: Eukaryota; Metazoa; Chordata; Mammalia; Carnivora; Mustelidae. The record is from RNAcentral.